This 330-nucleotide RNase P RNA is filed under the name Bacteroidales bacterium. RNAcentral describes it as "RNase P RNA component class A". It matches the Rfam family "Bacterial RNase P class A". From Rfam's summary of the family: Ribonuclease P (RNase P) is a ubiquitous endoribonuclease, found in archaea, bacteria and eukarya as well as chloroplasts and mitochondria. The record is from RNAcentral. Lineage: Bacteria; Pseudomonadati; Bacteroidota; Bacteroidia; Bacteroidales.
GCAGAAAAUCGUUCUAUCGCUCCGAAUAGGAGAGGAAAGUCCGGACAACGCAGGGCAUCGUACUGUUGAAAGAACAGAUACUUGUGAAAGUAUAGUAUGGUAGAAGAAAAUAACCGUCUGCCUUUGGUAGAUAAGGGUGAGAAGGUGGGGUAAAAGCCCACCGGUAUUACGUGCGAACGUAAUAGCCGUACCACUUACGAGUUGCAAGACCAUGUAAACCAACGCUUGAGAGCUGCCCGCUCGAUGUUGGAGGGUAGGUUGCAUUAGAUAAAUGAUAGAAAAUUUGCAUUAUGCAAAUUACAGAAUCUGGCUUAUAGAUUUUCUGCUUUU